GGCAAGGACGGGACCGAUGCCGUGGACGUACGUAGGGGGUAGGUGGUUUGCUGGAUUAUUGUGCGGAAAGAGCGCGUAGGGGGUCCGCAACGUCUGCUGUGAAGAGCCAGGGCUUAACGCUGGACUUGCAGUGGGUACGGGCGGAGUAGAGGUAGGUAGGGGAGAAUGGAAUUCCCGGUGUAGCGGUGAAAUUCGCAGAUAUCGGGAGGAACACCGGUGGCGAAGGCGGUUCUCUGGGCCUUACCUGACACUGAGGAGCGAAAGCGUGGGGAGCGAACAGGAUUAGAUACCCUAGUAGUC
Molecule: ribosomal RNA, 300 nt
Filed under: uncultured Sulfophobococcus sp.
Lineage: Archaea; Thermoproteati; Thermoproteota; Thermoprotei; Desulfurococcales; Desulfurococcaceae
Description: bacterial SSU rRNA
Rfam family: Bacterial small subunit ribosomal RNA (bases 55-300)
Source: RNAcentral